RNAcentral lists this unclassified non-coding RNA (345 nucleotides) under soil metagenome. RNAcentral's name for it is "partial contains 5.8S ribosomal RNA, internal transcribed spacer 2, and large subunit ribosomal RNA". The stretch from base 1 to 120 matches the Rfam family "5.8S ribosomal RNA", at positions 35 to 154 of the family's 154-position model. The record is from RNAcentral.
GAUGAAGAACGUAGCGAAAUGCGAUACGUAAUGUGAAUUGCAGAAUUCAGUGAAUCAUCGAGUCUUUGAACGCACAUUGCGCCCUCUGGUAUUCCGGAGGGCAUGCCUGUCCGAGCGUCAUUGCUGCCCUCAAGCACGGCUUGUGUGUUGGGCCCCGCCCCCCGAUCCCGGGGGGCGGGCCCGAAAGGCAGCGGCGGCACCGCGUCCGGUCCUCGAGCGUAUGGGGCUUUGUCACCCGCUCUGUAGGCCCGGCCGGCGCUUGCCGAUCAACCAAACUUUUUUCCAGGUUGACCUCGGAUCAGGUAGGGAUACCCGCUGAACUUAAGCAUAUCAAUAAGCGGAGGA